AUUGAACGCUGGCGGCAGGCCUAACACAUGCAAGUCGAACGAGUGGCGGACGGGUGAGGAAUGUCUGGGAAACUGCCCGUUGGAGGGGGAUAACUACUGGAAACGGUAGCUAAUACCGCAUACCAUCGGAUGUGCCCAGAGGGGAUUAGCUAGUAGGUGGGGUAACGGCUCACCUAGGCGACGAUCCCUAGCUGGUCUGAGAGGAUGACCAGCCACCGUGGAACGGAGACACGGUCCAGACUCCUACGGGAGGCAGCAGUGGGGAAUAUUGCACAAUGGGCGCAAGCCUGAUGCAGCCAUGCCGCGUGUAUGAAGAAGGCCUUCGGGUUGUAAAGUACUUUCAGCGGGGGGGCGUUACCCGCAGAAGAAGCACCGGCUAACUCCGUGCCAGCAGCCGCGGUAAUAC
Molecule: ribosomal RNA, 406 nt
Filed under: uncultured bacterium
Lineage: Bacteria
Description: partial 16S ribosomal RNA
Rfam family: Bacterial small subunit ribosomal RNA
Source: RNAcentral